GAUGAACGCUGGCGGCGUGCUUAACACAUGCAAGUCGAACGGGAAACCUUUUAUUGAAGCUUCGGCAGAUUUAGCUGGUUUCUAGUGGCGGACGGGUGAGUAACGCGUGGGUAACCUGCCUUAUACAGGGGGAUAACAACCAGAAAUGGUUGCUAAUACCGCAUAAGCGCACAGGACCGCAUGGUCCGGUGUGAAAAACUCCGGUGGUAUAAGAUGGAUCCGCGUUGGAUUAGCUAGUUGGCAGGGUAACGGCCUACCAAGGCGACGAUCCAUAGCCGGCCUGAGAGGGUGAACGGCCACAUUGGGACUGAGACACGGCCCAGACUCCUACGGGAGGCAGCAGUGGGGAAUAUUGCACAAUGGGGGAAACCCUGAUGCAGCGACGCCGCGUGAAGGAAGAAGUAUCUCGGUAUGUAAACUUCUAUCAGCAGGGAAGAUAGUGACGGUACCUGACGAAGAAGCCCCGGCUAACUACGUG
Molecule: ribosomal RNA, 478 nt
Filed under: uncultured bacterium
Lineage: Bacteria
Description: partial 16S ribosomal RNA
Rfam family: Bacterial small subunit ribosomal RNA
Source: RNAcentral